RNAcentral lists this ribosomal RNA (1509 nucleotides) under Helicobacter pylori. Its description in RNAcentral is "bacterial SSU rRNA". It matches the Rfam family "Bacterial small subunit ribosomal RNA". Lineage: Bacteria; Pseudomonadati; Campylobacterota; Epsilonproteobacteria; Campylobacterales; Helicobacteraceae. The record is from RNAcentral.
UUUAUGGAGAGUUUGAUCCUGGCUCAGAGUGAACGCUGGCGGCGUGCCUAAUACAUGCAAGUCGAACGAUGAAGCUUCUAGCUUGCUAGAAUGCUGAUUAGUGGCGCACGGGUGAGUAACGCAUAGGUCAUGUGCCUCUUAGUUUGGGAUAGCCAUUGGAAACGAUGAUUAAUACCAGAUACUCCCUACGGGGGAAAGAUUUAUCGCUAAGAGAUCAGCCUAUGUCCUAUCAGCUUGUUGGUAAGGUAAUGGCUUACCAAGGCUAUGACGGGUAUCCGGCCUGAGAGGGUGAACGGACACACUGGAACUGAGACACGGUUCAGACUCCUACGGGAGGCAGCAGUAGGGAAUAUUGCUCAAUGGGGGAAACCCUGAAGCAGCAACGCCGCGUGGAGGAUGAAGGUUUUAGGAUUGUAAACUCCUUUUGUUAGAGAAGAUAAUGACGGUAUCUAACGAAUAAGCACCGGCUAACUCCGUGCCAGCAGCCGCGGUAAUACGGAGGGUGCAAGCGUUACUCGGAAUCACUGGGCGUAAAGAGCGCGUAGGCGGGAUAGUCAGUCAGGUGUGAAAUCCUAUGGCUUAACCAUAGAACUGCAUUUGAAACUACUAUUCUAGAGUGUGGGAGAGGUAGGUGGAAUUCUUGGUGUAGGGGUAAAAUCCGUAGAGAUCAAGAGGAAUACUCAUUGCGAAGGCGACCUGCUGGAACAUUACUGACGCUGAUUGCGCGAAAGCGUGGGGAGCAAACAGGAUUAGAUACCCUGGUAGUCCACGCCCUAAACGAUGGAUGCUAGUUGUUGGAGGGCUUAGUCUCUCCAGUAAUGCAGCUAACGCAUUAAGCAUCCCGCCUGGGGAGUACGGUCGCAAGAUUAAAACUCAAAGGAAUAGACGGGGACCCGCACAAGCGGUGGAGCAUGUGGUUUAAUUCGAAGAUACACGAAGAACCUUACCUAGGCUUGACAUUGAGAGAAUCCGCUAGAAAUAGUGGAGUGUCUAGCUUGCUAGACCUUGAAAACAGGUGCUGCACGGCUGUCGUCAGCUCGUGUCGUGAGAUGUUGGGUUAAGUCCCGCAACGAGCGCAACCCCCUUUCUUAGUUGCUAACAGGUCAUGCUGAGAACUCUAAGGAUACUGCCUCCGUAAGGAGGAGGAAGGUGGGGACGACGUCAAGUCAUCAUGGCCCUUACGCCUAGGGCUACACACGUGCUACAAUGGGGUGCACAAAGAGAAGCAAUACUGCGAAGUGGAGCCAAUCUUCAAAACACCUCUCAGUUCGGAUUGUAGGCUGCAACUCGCCUGCAUGAAGCUGGAAUCGCUAGUAAUCGCAAAUCAGCCAUGUUGCGGUGAAUACGUUCCCGGGUCUUGUACUCACCGCCCGUCACACCAUGGGAGUUGUGUUUGCCUUAAGUCAGGAUGCUAAAUUGGCUACUGCCCACGGCACACACAGCGACUGGGGUGAAGUCGUAACAAGGUAACCGUAGGUGAACCUGCGGUUGGAUCACCUCCUUUCUAGA